RNAcentral lists this ribosomal RNA (595 nucleotides) under uncultured Lachnospiraceae bacterium. RNAcentral's name for it is "bacterial SSU rRNA". It matches the Rfam family "Bacterial small subunit ribosomal RNA", at positions 73 to 684 of the family's 1533-position model. The record is from RNAcentral. Lineage: Bacteria; Bacillati; Bacillota; Clostridia; Lachnospirales; Lachnospiraceae.
AGAGAGCUUGCUUUUUAAGCUUAGUGGCGAACGGGUGAGUAACGCGUGAGUAACCUGCCCUAGAGUGGGGGACAACAGUUGGAAACGACUGCUAAUACCGCAUAAGCCCACGGUACCGCAUGGCACUGAGGGAAAAGGAUUUAUUCGCUUUAGGAUGGACUCGCGUCCAAUUAGCUAGUUGGUGAGGUAACGGCCCACCAAGGCGACGAUUGGUGGCCGGACUGAGAGGUUGAACGGCCACAUUGGGACUGAGACACGGCCCAGACUCCUACGGGAGGCAGCAGUGGGGGAUAUUGCACAAUGGGGGAAACCCUGAUGCAGCGACGCCGCGUGGAGGAAGAAGGUUUUCGGAUUGUAAACUCCUGUCGUUAGGGACGAUAAUGACGGUACCUAACAAGAAAGCACCGGCUAACUACGUGCCAGCAGCCGCGGUAAAACGUAGGGUGCAAGCGUUGUCCGGAAUUACUGGGUGUAAAGGGAGCGCAGGCGGGAAGACAAGUUGGAAGUGAAAACCAUGGGCUCAACCCAUGAAUUGCUUUCAAAACUGUUUUUCUUGAGUAGUGCAGAGGUAGAUGGAUUCCCGGUGUAGCGGUGG